AUGAAGUCUACAGCAUUAGCAAUGCAGGAGGAAUUAGCUAUUUUUUUCAAACAAAGAAAGGAAGCAUUCAACAGUAAAGUUAAAAUUACUCCUUAAUUGUAUAGCACAGACAAAGAGACAGUGGAAUACGAACGCUCACGAGCUAAUGCCUGGAUACCUCUGAAAUGAGUAAGCUCGAAAUGCCUCUGUACUUAGGAAAAGAGCAUCAUGGAGGCAGAAAGUGGUACAUGUGGAAGGAUCACUUGCAAUCUUUUAAUCAGUCAAUUGAUUUUCUGUUUGAUCCUGUAAAAUAACGCGCUCUCCUCCUACUUCACCCCCAAAUAUAUGCGGUUUACAUUUGUUACGUUUGAUGAGCUGAGAGGAAUUGAAAUCAUCUCAGUUCUGUGUGAAUGAGGAGUGGGAAAAUCUGCGUUGGACCUUCUGCACAGGAGUCCCUCAUCUCCUGUCCCAGGCCACUUGUACAACACCAAAAAGGAAGGCAUACCUCAGGGAUACUGAAGACUUCCCGUCUUGAGCUACUGUGCAAAUGGAAUAUUUACUUACAGAGAGGAACUGCCUCAAUAAGCAAUGUCAAGAGUGACCUAACCCCCAACAGCUCUAGCAGAGAAAGUGUUUCUGUGGGAGCUGUGUGGAUGACAGCGCCCUGAGCUGAAUGCACACGAAGCAACGUCAUGGUGUCUUUGCAGGGUAGGUGCUUUCCACUUCCUGCUCAGCAAGUUUCAGCGGACAAACUGUGCGUAAGCCCCAGCGAGUCCCUAGGGACCAUGGCCCUGCCCUGAUGCUGAUUGCCCAACUGCAGGGCAGCUGUGGCUGGCCCCCGGGGCCCCAGGGGAGCUGCUGGUGGUGCUUGCCCUCCGCACCUGCCUGCCUGGUGCCCCGUUGCUGCCGGGGUGCUCCCCGCUCCCCAUCCUCCUGGUGCCCAAGAGGGCUGGUCUUGCCUGCCGUGCCACCGCUGCCGGGACAGGGUGAACACUGCAGCAGCGAGCGUAUUAAAUGCUGCAGAUUUGGGUAAGGAGCUUUCCUGACACAGGGAGCUAGCAGCAACGUAGCUCAAAACCUGACCCGUUCCCCUUCUUUUGGCUUGUUGUCUUAAAUAUUUGCUGAUACUUUGCAGUUUUAAAACCUUAGUUUUUCAAACAG
This 1140-nucleotide long non-coding RNA is filed under the name Struthio camelus australis. Its description in RNAcentral is "lncRNA (ENSSCUG00000018610.1)". Lineage: Eukaryota; Metazoa; Chordata; Aves; Struthioniformes; Struthionidae. The record is from RNAcentral.